This 620-nucleotide ribosomal RNA is filed under the name uncultured bacterium. RNAcentral's name for it is "bacterial SSU rRNA". It matches the Rfam family "Bacterial small subunit ribosomal RNA", at positions 338 to 1332 of the family's 1533-position model. The record is from RNAcentral.
CCUACGGGAGGCAGCAGUGGGGAAUUUUGGACAAUGGGCGAAAGCCUGAUCCAGCAAUGCCGCGUGUGGGAAGAAGGCCUUCGGGUUGUAAACCACUUUUGUACGGAACGAAACGGUUCGCUUUAAUACAGUGGGCUAAUGACGGUACCGUAAGAAUAAGCACCGGCUAACUACGUGCCAGCAGCCGCGGUAAUACGUAGGGUGCGAGCGUUAAUCGGAAUUACUGGGCGUAAAGCGUGCGCAGGCGGUCAUAUAAGACAGUUGUGAAAUCCCCGGGCUCAACCUGGGAAUUGCAUCUGUGACUGUAUAGCUAGAGUACGGUAGAGGGGGAUGGAAUUCCGCGUGUAGCAGUGAAAUGCGUAGAUAUGCGGAGGAACACCGAUGGCGAAGGCAAUCCCCUGGACCUGUACUGACGCUCAUGCACGAAAGCGUGGGGAGCAAACAGGAUUAGAUACCCUGGUAGUCCACGCCCUAAACGAUGUCAACUGGUUGUUGGGUGCAUUAGUACUCAGUAACGAAGCUAACGCGUGAAGUUGACCGCCUGGGGAGUACGGCCGCAAGGUUGAAACUUAAAGGAAUUGACGGCUGGAGAGNGCCGACGACGACGACGAGGGAGGAGG